UCAGGCAAAACGAGUCACGGCACGCAGCUCAGUAACACGUGGCUAAUCUGCCCUUGGGACUAGAACAACCCCGGGAAACUGGGGCUAAAUUUAGAUAGGUGAAGAACUCUGGAAUGAGUCUUUGCCUGAAUAGGUUCACGUUAUCCUCGUGAACUUGCCCAAGGAUGAGGCCGCGACCGAUCAGGUUGUUGGCGAGGUAAUGGCUCACCAAGCCUUUUACCGGUGCGGGCCGUGGGAGCGGGAGCCCGGAGAUGGGUACUGAGACAAGGACCCAGGCCCUACGGGGCGCAGCAGUCGCGAAACCUUUGCAAUACACGAAAGUGUGACAGGGCUAUCCCGAGUGCCAUCCGCUGGGGAAGGCUUUUACCCAGUCUAGAACGCUGGGGGAAUAAGGAGAGGGCAAGUCUGGUGUCAGCCGCCGCGGUAAUACCAGCUCUCCGAGUGGUGUGGAUGUUUAUUGGGCCUAAAGCAUCCGUAGCUGGCUAGGUAAGUCCCUUGUUAAAUCCACCGAAUUAAUCGUUGGAUCGCGGGGGAUACUGCUUGGCUAGGGGACGAGAGAGGCAGACGGUAUUCUCGGGGUAGGGGUGAAAUACUAUAAUCCCGGGAAGACCACCAGUGGCGAAGGCUGUCUGCUAGAACGCGCCCGACGGUGAGGGAUGAAAGCUGGGGGAGCGAACCGGAUUAGAUACCCGGGUAGUCCCAGCUGUAAACGAUGCAGACUAGGUGUUUGAACGGCCACGUGCCGUUCUAGUGCCGCAGGGAAGCUGUUAAGUCUGCCGCCUGGGGAGUACGAUCGCAAGAUUGAAACUUAA
This 812-nucleotide ribosomal RNA is filed under the name uncultured crenarchaeote. RNAcentral describes it as "bacterial SSU rRNA". It matches the Rfam family "Archaeal small subunit ribosomal RNA", at positions 67 to 859 of the family's 1478-position model. Lineage: Archaea; Thermoproteati; Thermoproteota. The record is from RNAcentral.